UAGCUCGCGGAGAGGGAAUGGUGUAUCGGGUUGGCGGAUUAAUUUCUGUCUUCUCAUCGCCUCCUCCCUUCGUGUCUUCCGUGCAAAUAGAAACUUCUUAGAGGGACAGGUGGCGUUUAGCCACACGAGAUUGAGCAAUAACAGGUCUGUGAUGCCCUUAGAUGUUCGGGGCCGCACGUGCGCUACACUGAAUGGAUCAACGUGUAUUAACCUUGCCCGAAAGGGUUGGGAAAUCCGUUGAACCCCAUUCGUGCUAGGGAUUGGGGCUUGUAAUUGUUCCCCAUGAACGAGGAAUUCCCAGUAAGCGUGAGUCAAAAGCUCGCGUUGAUUACGUCCCUGCCCUUUGUACACACCGCCCGUCGCUACUACCGAUCGCCCCAGUUAAUGAGCAGCUCGGAUUGGUCGCCAAUCACGGGUGCCUUCGUGCCUUCGCGGGCGCGGCAGGUGCCUCUUGGCUGUGCCGAGAAGAAUUGCAAAUUUGUUGGGGUAGAGGUCGUAAAAGUCGUAACAAGGUUUCCGUAGGU
This 524-nucleotide ribosomal RNA is filed under the name Pandora glacialis. RNAcentral's name for it is "SSU rRNA". It matches the Rfam family "Eukaryotic small subunit ribosomal RNA", at positions 1356 to 1810 of the family's 1831-position model. The record is from RNAcentral. Lineage: Eukaryota; Metazoa; Mollusca; Bivalvia; Pandoridae.